RNAcentral lists this ribosomal RNA (134 nucleotides) under uncultured eukaryote. RNAcentral's name for it is "partial small subunit ribosomal RNA". It matches the Rfam family "Eukaryotic small subunit ribosomal RNA", at positions 1651 to 1784 of the family's 1831-position model. The record is from RNAcentral.
CCCUGCCAUUUGUACACACCGCCCGUCGCACCUACCGAUUGAAUGGUCCGGUGAAAUCUUCGGAUCUAUUUUUGGUUUAUUUAUUUAGAUUAAAGAUGGAGAAGUUGAGUGAACCUUACCAUUUAGAGGAAGGU